GGCAGAUCAGGGGCUGAGCCAGUACAAUCCAAACACAGCCCUGGCCAAUCAGCAUCUCUUCAUAGAGAUGCAUUGAAUCUUGAGUUUAGUGUCUCCAUGCAGAUGGUGUAGACACUGAAUGACAGUAAUGCACAUUGUGCAUCACUGCCCCAGGAAGCACCUCUAGUAGCCAUCUGAGGAGUGACCAGUGGAGUUAACCCUAGGUUGUAAUGUAAACACUGCAUUAUCUCUGAAAAGACAGUGUUUACUGCAAAAAGCCUGAAGGGAACGAUUAU
Molecule: non-coding RNA, 275 nt
Organism: Pelobates cultripes (western spadefoot toad)
Lineage: Eukaryota; Metazoa; Chordata; Amphibia; Anura; Pelobatidae
Source: the annotation of a GenBank genome assembly